UUAGGUAUUGCAUAAAUUAGUUAUACUAAUAGAUUGCUAAAGGAUUAAAAAUACUCUUUGACAAAAUAUUCGGAUUAACAAAUUUUUAAUUAGAAAAUAAUGAAAAAAAGAAAAAGAAAAUAGAAUAACGAUCGAAGUGAUAAAGAACAGGUUGAGUUUUUCAAAGUCUCGUUAAUAAUAACGCAUUGAAGAGGAAAAAAGAAGUAAAAAAAAAAAAGAAGAAGAAGAAGAUAUUUUAUUCUUCACAAAAUUUUUUCAAAAUGUCUGCCGCAUUGUAAACCGUAUCAGCAAGUUUAUAAUUACGCGAGAUGUAAUUUAGUUCGGACGACAAGAAAAGAAAACUUCUUUUGCUUUUCCUUUGGCAUCUGGAAAAAUAACGAAGCGGGGAAAGAAAGAUAUAAGAAAAAAUGUAUUCUAUUCGCGAAUCCGUGCCAAAGGUUGCUUCGCAUUAAUGUGCCAUCGAAAAGUUUAACGAAAAGCUAUAGAAACAUUUUCUCUUGCAACUAACUACCGUCAACACCAUCACCAUCACCAUCACCAUCACCACGUGGAAUUAUUAUUUUAUGUUAAAGCGUGAUUAAAAGUUUGUACAAGAUCUUUGGAUUAUUCAUGCCAACUCGUAACAUGAGUAAGGUAAUAAAGAUCGAAGUAUCUCAAGCUAUCUCGAGGUCGCCGAUGAAAAAUAGAUAAAUAUUUCUAACGUUACCUGCGAUCCUAGCAAAGAUCAUCUUAUGCUAGGAUGCUAGGUAGAUAUACGUGUAGACUCGGGAAAUAUUUCAACGUCCAAAUUUCUACCUAAGAAUAAUGGGAUUUUUGUAAGUGGUAAGUGCUUAUGAUCGGAAAUCAUCCAUCUUGGGAUUUCAAUCAAAUAUGACCGAA
RNAcentral lists this long non-coding RNA (879 nucleotides) under Polistes fuscatus (common paper wasp). RNAcentral's name for it is "uncharacterized LOC122524838". The record is from RNAcentral. Lineage: Eukaryota; Metazoa; Arthropoda; Insecta; Hymenoptera; Vespidae.